This 576-nucleotide ribosomal RNA is filed under the name uncultured eukaryote. RNAcentral's name for it is "SSU rRNA". It matches the Rfam family "Eukaryotic small subunit ribosomal RNA", at positions 205 to 797 of the family's 1831-position model. The record is from RNAcentral.
UUUGUUACUUCAAACCAAUCGGACUUCGGUCUGACAUCAAGUGAUAUUGAACAAUUUAGCUGAUCGCACGGUCUAAGAACCGGCGACAUAUCCUUCAAAUGUCUGCCUUAUCAACUUUCGAUGGUAGAUUAUGCGCCUACCAUGGUUGUAACGGGUAACGGARAAUCAGGGUUUGAUUCCGGAGAGGGAGCCUGAGAAACGGCUACCACAUCCAAGGAAGGCAGCAGGCACGCAAAUUACCCACUCCCGGCACGGGGAGGUAGUGACSAAAAAWAACAAGCUGGUCUCAAUGAGUUCCAGCAUUGUAAUGGGAACAAUUUAAAUCUUUUAUCGAGGAUCUAUUGGAGGGCAAGUCUGGUGCCAGCAGCCGCGGUAAUUCCAGCUCCAAUAGCGUAUAUUAAAGUUGUUGCGGUUAAAAAGCUCGUARUUGGAUCUAGGAUUAGGGCUACGGUCGUUCARCUUGGACGUACUGUAUGCCCGACUCCUUUUCUCUAGUAUUCGAUUGUUGCUCUUAAAUGAGUGACUUUAGUUGCUGGRACUUUUACCUUGAAAAAAUUGAAGUGCUCAAAGCAGGUU